UUUGAUCCUGGCUCAGAUUGAACGCUGGCGGCAGGCCUAACACAUGCAAGUCGAGCGGUAACAUUUCUAGCUUGCUAGAAGAUGACGAGCGGCGGACGGGUGAGUAAUGCUUGGGAACAUGCCUUGAGGUGGGGGACAACAGUUGGAAACGACUGCUAAUACCGCAUAAUGUCUACGGACCAAAGGGGGCUUCGGCUCUCGCCUUUAGAUUGGCCCAAGUGGGAUUAGCUAGUUGGUGAGGUAAUGGCUCACCAAGGCGACGAUCCCUAGCUGGUUUGAGAGGAUGAUCAGCCACACUGGGACUGAGACACGGCCCAGACUCCUACGGGAGGCAGCAGUGGGGAAUAUUGCACAAUGGGCGAAAGCCUGAUGCAGCCAUGCCGCGUGUGUGAAGAAGGCCUUCGGGUUGUAAAGCACUUUCAGUCAGGAGGAAAGGUUAGUAGUUAAUACC
This 451-nucleotide ribosomal RNA is filed under the name HMWdDNA-degrading marine bacterium 13. RNAcentral describes it as "bacterial SSU rRNA". It matches the Rfam family "Bacterial small subunit ribosomal RNA", at positions 12 to 468 of the family's 1533-position model. RNAcentral also lists the same sequence under 3 other names. The record is from RNAcentral.